GCUAGCGAGCGCAUUGAAAUCGGUAUCACUAGUGUGACUAUGACGGUGGUUGCUUUUUGGUGUCAUUUUAUCGCAAUAUCGGGGAAUGCAUAUGGAGGUAUUUCCUCUAUAUCUAAGCAAGUUAAGACAUUAAUACUGUCAUGAAGCAUAUCAAUGUUCUCAUUAAUAUAUUCUCUUUCGUGUUGAAUGCUGAUAUUUUACAAUGAUUGCUGAUAUUAAUGAAAAAACAGAAAGAUAUCAAUGCACAUGCAAAUUUUUGCCUAAAAACAUGAAAAUUUUGGCAUCAAUUCUUAUAUUUUUCAAAAAAUAUUUACCGGACUGUUCUGAAAACACUUGCAAUCGAUUUUUACUGUCUAAAUCAAUGUGAAAUGCGUAUUUAUUUAAUAUUUUUCCAUAGUUUGUGCAAAAAUAUGAAAAUAAUUGAUUUUCAUGAAAAAUUCAAGAUGGCCUACAAAAAUGGGGCCCUAUGGGCCCCAUUUUUGUACAGUGUACAUGAUUUGACAGGAUUUGACAGUGUACAGGAUUUGACCCGGCAGCAACACAUUUUCUUGACCACUGAUAUCAUGCCAACAUCUUGGGACCAUCAAACCUUUUGUGCCCGAUCAGCUGAAUAAACUCUCCCAGCCCCCGGAUUAUAAAGCAGAGAGAGUGUGCUAAGAGAGAGGAAGGGAGAGAGAUUGCAAGAGAGAGAGAGGGGAAGAGAGAAAUCGAAACUUCAGAAAGCUGGGAGAUUGGGAUUGAGACCAUUCAUUUAUGUACAAGAGUGUGCUCGUCCAUUCGUUCAUGUACAAAUUGAUGAAGCUAUACAUAGAACUAUCGGCGAAGUCCAUGCGCCUGCGCACUUCAGUUUUUUAGCUCAACUUAUGAAUAAUUCAUGUACCAUAGCGUUUCCAUGUACGGAAAAAAUAUUCGCCGGCGCGGCCGGGGGCGGCGCGGCGACAGGCUUGCGCAUGCGCACUUGCCGCCAACAUUUGAAAAGAAUUCCGUUGUGUUGCAGUUUAUUGAGCUAGAUCGAGAAGUGCAACGAAGAAGGCCGUUAUAAUUCUUUUAUAGAAUACGGGCCAGAUAUGGACAACGACUUCGAAGACAUUUGCAGUAGGCUAAACAGUAAGUUAGAUAACGAUUUUCUAUGAUUUUCUUUUCGUAUUUUGUUAAAUGCUGCGGCUUGCAGCUUGCUUCGUCACUGAAAAUGACAAGUGACACUUGCAUCCCAUCGCAACCGGGCGGUCGCCUCGGCCCGAGCUCUCGCUCGCUGCUGUGGACCACUGCACUGGCGGCCGGCUGGUGAUCCCCAACCCCAAGUCUGCACACCUAACUUACCGAUUUGAGUUAAGAUUUAACGUGAAUUUCCUUUUGUUUUACAAAAUCUUUCAAUUGAUGAUGUUCCUUGUAUUCUUAUGAGUAAGUGUGCAGAAAGUCUUCAUACUAUGUAAAAAUUUGAGAGAAAUAAUUGAUUUUCUUGGAAAAUAAUCUCGGCCAGUCAUGGUCAUUUUGAUUUUCAGAUUUGAACAAAAUGAUUAGUGGUAGUGCCUGAUGUGCGAUGUCUGCGGACUCAUUCACUUUACACAGGCCUAUUACACACGAUGUGAAGAGUUCGAUAAGAAAGCAAGCACCGAGGAACCUCGACUCUCGAGCGAAGUUCGUGCAGGCUCCAUCCACUCCACUUACUCGGCCUCGGGUAGGUGGAGUGUAGUGUAGUGGUAGUGAAGUGGAGUGGAGCCUGCACGAACUUCACUUGAGGUAGCACCGAGGCUGCAUUUUGAGGCCGUCACAUGAAAUGCCCUGGAAAGAGUUCCAUAUCCAAUGCACCCCCCCCCCCACCAACAUGACCAAAAAUAACAAAAGAAUGCGACACAAUUCCGGUUCGUUCAGAUUUGUCUAUACUUUUUUUUUGUACCGUUGUGUUGGCACCUUAGUUGGGACUUGAACUCGCCUCGUUUUAUCUGCAGUCAAGCCACCUGUUCCUGUUAUGCUAGCAAGAAGCGCUGAUACCGGAAGGGGUAUUUUAAUGACUAUCAGCCGAUAGUUCGACUAGACUUGACUCAGACUCUUUACUGACUAAAUAAACCAAUGUCUAUGGACAAUUACACACACUAUAUACAUGCUCAAAAUUUGAUGGAAUAAAGCCAUAUUUUAGUAUGUAUUUCCAUUCCCCCAUCAUAUAUGUUCCAUAUUGGGCUAGAUAUAUUAUUCUGAUCCUUCUUCGUGUUUUUAUUUUCAAUUUCAGUGGGGGUGCAUAUGGAACUCUUGCCAAUGCCCUAAAUUCAUUAUUUUCCCACCAUUUUGAGUCAGAUUUUUUAUGAAUAGAUCUGUUUAUGACAUUUCAGGAGAAAGAGAGGGAGAACCAAAACUACCUGUCCUGGCGUCACACUUGAGGAGAUGAAGUCGGUGAAUAUGACCUAGCCCGGGGGAGUUUCCAGAAGAAGGCCCACAACCGCUGGUCGCCAGGAGUGGAGGUCCUUUUUAAUUGUUGUUGCCCUACAUGUGCGUGCCAGGCGGCAUCAGGCAGUAGCCCUGGUAGAAGCACCAUUAUCAUCUUGAUACCAUCAUCCAGACUCUCAUCAGCUGUAUCAUUAUAGGUGGACUAAAAGAACAAUAAUCAUGCAGAUAUAAUGAUGCUGAAAUGGAAGGUGUCCUGAAUCUGCACCCAGUCAUCUGGUUUUGUAACACCCUUUAUAGCGCUAUUGGAACCGGCUCCCUACCAGUAUAACAUCGAACAGAUUGGAAGAAUAAAGGCCAAUGGGAAGUGUUUUUUAUACCCCUACUUGCCACACAGCAGUCUGUGGUUAAGCGCAAUCUAAACUGGACUAAUGUAAUGCUCUUAAUGCUUGAAUUAGGGUGAUCUGGACCGACUGCAGAUAGUGCAGAAUGCUGCAUCUAUUGUGCCAUUUGCCAUACGCCCACAUUCCUGAUCAUCUUUGCUCUGGACUUGGAACAACACUGUCACUGCCUGGUAAUUUGAAUUUUAAAAAAAUCUCAUGUGCUGACUAGGAUGGCAUCUCAAAGUGCUUUGUAUCUCACAAAAUAAUGUGUUGUGUAAAAGCGAACAGGCAUUGAGGUCAAGCAUAAGGGUAACCAUGUAUAUGGCCUUUGAUUACUUUUUAACAAAACUGAAAAAUUCAUCAAAAUAGGACAAGGGAUAAUAAAGUAAUGUAUGACAUUCUAAGCUCUGCAUUAUUUUAGUGAAAGACCUCUAAGCAUAUGCAAGUAGCAGGCUGAUGAUGUAAUGUCAUACAGAGGUACAUGUACAUGUAUCCCCAACUUAUUAUUUUGUAUAUAAAAUUGUGUAUUUAAAUUGGAUUGUAAACUGUAUUGAUGUUACUUACCUGUAUUGAUUAUUGCUGUUCUUUUGCUACAUGGGAUUCGAAGACAUACUUAUUACACAUAUGAAAUAAUUAUUAUUUCAUCUGGUAACAGAACAAUAAAAAUGUGGGCAUGAUAUCAUAAACUUAUCUACUUGCAUGUGUUAAUGACCAAUUUUUGUAAUUAUUUUUUAUCAGAUUUUGAUAAAAUUUUCACUAUUUUUGCAUCGUAAAAAUUACUUUAUUUAUCAUAGAUAUAAUUAUGAUGAUCCCGGAUCAUAUACAAGUACCCCUUUAAAGAUAAGUUACCAUUUGAAGUAACAAUCUUAAAAUGAGUUCGAACAGAAUCCAAUAGAAUUACCAGCAAAGUGUCUGUAUGUAACAGAUACGUGCCAAAUAGCUCGGGAAGAAAAUGCGUAAUUACUGAGAAAUGAGCAAAAUAAGCAUGUAAAUCUAUCAAAUGUCGGGUAUUUUUUCGAAUCAAUUAUGAUACACUGUCCUGCCUCACAUAUGUUUUUUCUGUGUUAGUGAUCAUCAGAAUUAUUGAUUUUAAGUUCAAAAUUCAUGAUUUUACAAAGAUACAAGUUUACAUUAAUGUACCAGAUCUAGAUUAUGUACAAUACUUUGACAAUUAACCUUAAUUUAAAAGACGUUCUCAAGAAAUAAUUGUUUGCUGCAACUACUCUCUUUUACCCCUUAGUGUUAGUAUAAUACAACCACAAACUUUUCAUAAGGGUUGAUGUACAUGUAUGAUUCUUUCACCAAAAUGCGAGCUUCCAUAAAUCCUGAAAUCAUUGCAACUCAGGCAUUUUUUUUUACAUAAAUAUAUUUUUACCUACAUUACAUAGUUCUCUAAAGUUGAAGGUAUAUUUUAUUACAAUUUCAACAAAAAAGCUAAAUUUUUGGAGAUAAUUACUAUUCACAAUGCCUCUGUUACAUGCAUGUAUUAAUGUGUAUUUAUGUAUUGGUAUAACAAACAUUGUAAUUAUUUCAUUCCUUUGACCCUAAUACGGCAUUUUCAUAGAAAAUAUUUUUUUUAAAUCUAUUUAGAGUUUUUAAACUUGUUCUUUUCCUUUUUUUUUUGCUGGGAAUAUCAUGUUAUGCAACUUUUAUAUAUUAAUAUAAUAUUUGUCAUGAUUUCC
Long non-coding RNA from Lytechinus pictus (painted urchin), 4444 nucleotides. RefSeq lists it as uncharacterized. The record is from RefSeq and is a predicted model, not a curated record. NCBI's taxonomy places the organism in Eukaryota, Metazoa, Echinodermata, Echinoidea, Temnopleuroida, Toxopneustidae. The transcript is spliced from 3 exons.